CACUGUAAAUAUAUACAAUUUUUAUUUAAAGUUAGAAAAAUUAUUUUAAAAUAAACCAAAAAGGCAGUCCGUAAGCUUCUGUUGAAUGGAUAAAAAUCUCUACUAUAAACAAAAACAUAAUAUACAAAGGUAUUAAGAUUUGGAAGAAAACCUAAGAGAGUAUUAACAGUAGUGACUACUGGGGAUCACCGAGAUACAGGGUAUUAAGGAUGGAAGGUUUAUUUUUCAAUGGAUCUUUGGGAAGUUUUAAAACAUACAUGCUCAACCUUUAAAAAUUACUCUAGGGGAAAUCCCUUCUCCACAUCCUAUAGGUGUGCUUCCUUCUUCCUCUCCAUACACUUCACUAUCAAAACCUACAUUACUUCCAACAGUCGAC
This 376-nucleotide long non-coding RNA is filed under the name Pongo abelii (Sumatran orangutan). RNAcentral's name for it is "lincRNA". Lineage: Eukaryota; Metazoa; Chordata; Mammalia; Primates; Hominidae. The record is from RNAcentral.